GACGAACGCUGGCGGCGUGCUUAACACAUGCAAGUCGAACGGAGCGAAUGAAAGCUUGCUUUUAUGAGCUUAGUGGCAAACGGGUGAGUAACACGUAGACAACCUGCCGAUCAGAUGGGGACAACAUUCCGAAAGGAAUGCUAAUACCGAAUGGCGUGUAGGGGAGGCAUCUUCCCUACAUGAAAGAUGGCCUCUAUAUGUAAGCUAUCACUGAUCGAUGGGUCUGCGUCUGAUUAGCUAGUAGGUAAGGUAACGGCUUACCUAGGCGACGAUCAGUAGCCGGUCUGAGAGGAUGAACGGCCACAUUGGGCCUGAGACACGGCCCAGACUCCUACGGGAGGCAGCAGUGGGGAAUCUUCCGCAAUGGGCGCAAGCCUGACGGAGCAACGCCGCGUGAGUGAAGAAGGUCUUCGGAUCGUAAAGCUCUGUUGAAGGGGACGAACGAUCGAGGGGCGAACAGGCUCUCGGAGGAC
Molecule: ribosomal RNA, 473 nt
Filed under: Centipeda artemidis
Lineage: Bacteria; Bacillati; Bacillota; Negativicutes; Selenomonadales; Selenomonadaceae
Description: bacterial SSU rRNA
Rfam family: Bacterial small subunit ribosomal RNA
Source: RNAcentral